This 428-nucleotide ribosomal RNA is filed under the name Bacteroidota bacterium. RNAcentral describes it as "Bacteroidetes bacterium partial 16S ribosomal RNA". It matches the Rfam family "Bacterial small subunit ribosomal RNA", at positions 355 to 776 of the family's 1533-position model. The record is from RNAcentral. Lineage: Bacteria; Pseudomonadati; Bacteroidota.
UAGGGAAUCUUCCGCAAUGGACGCAAGUCUGACGGAGCAACGCCGCGUGAGUGAAGAAGGAUUUCGGUUCGUAAAACUCUGUUGUUUGAGAAGAACAGCGCAUAGAGUAACUGUUAUGCGUGUGACGGUAUCUAACCAGAAAGCCACGGCUAACUACGUGCCAGCAGCCGCGGUAAUACGUAGGUCCCGAGCGUUGUCCGGAUUUAUUGGGCGUAAAGCGAGCGCAGGCGGUUAGAUAAGUCUGAAGUUAAAGGCAGUGGCUCAACCAUUGUAGGCUUUGGAAACUGUUUAACUUGAGUGCAGAAGGGGAGAGUGGAAUUCCAUGUGUAGCGGUGAAAUGCGUAGAUAUAUGGAGGAACACCGGUGGCGAAAGCGGCUCUCUGGUCUGUAACUGACGCUGAGGCUCGAAAGCGUGGGGAGCGAACAGG